This 253-nucleotide ribosomal RNA is filed under the name uncultured bacterium. Its description in RNAcentral is "partial 16S ribosomal RNA". It matches the Rfam family "Bacterial small subunit ribosomal RNA", at positions 524 to 776 of the family's 1533-position model. The record is from RNAcentral.
UACGGGGGGGGCAAGCGUUGUUCGGAAUUACUGGGCGUAAAGGGCGCGUAGGCGGCCUUCUAAGUCAGACGUGAAAUCCCCCGGCUUAACCUGGGAACUGCGUCUGAUACUGGGAGGCUUGAGUAUGGGAGAGGGAUGUAGAAUUCCAGGUGUAGCGGUGAAAUGCGUAGAUAUCUGGAGGAAUACCGGUGGCGAAGGCGGCAUCCUGGACCAUAACUGACGCUGAGGUGCGAAAGCGUGGGGAGCAAACAGG